AUUGAACGCUGGCGGAAUGCUUUACACAUGCAGGUCGAACGGUAGAGGGGGCAACCCCUCGAGAGUGGCGAACGGGUGAGUAAUAUAUCGGAACGUGCCCAGUCGUGGGGGAUAACGUAGCGAAAGUUACGCUAAUACCGCAUACGAUCUAAGGAUGAAAGCGGGGGAUCGCAAGACCUCGCGCGAUUGGAGCGGCCGAUAUCAGAUUAGGUAGUUGGUGGGGUAAAGGCCCACCAAGCCAACGAUCUGUAGCUGGUCUGAGAGGACGACCAGCCACACCGGAACUGAGACACGGUCCAGACUCCUACGGGAGGCAGCAGUGGGGAAUAUUGCACAAUGGGCGCAAGCCUGGUGCAGCCAUGCCGCGUGUAUGAAGAAGGCCUUCGGGUUGUAAAGUACUUUCAGCGGGGAGGAAGGCGGUGAAGUUAAUAGCUUCACCGAUUGACGUUACCCGCUGAAGAAGCACCGGCUAACUCCGUGCCAGCAGCCGCCGCCG
Molecule: ribosomal RNA, 496 nt
Filed under: uncultured bacterium
Lineage: Bacteria
Description: partial 16S ribosomal RNA
Rfam family: Bacterial small subunit ribosomal RNA
Source: RNAcentral